UCUUCCCUCUUCCCUCCUGCUUAACACAUGCAAGUCUUUGGCGAAGCUGUGCUUGCACAGCCUAGCCAAGGCGGACGGGUGAGUAACGCGUAAGGAACUUGCCCUGCAGUCAGGGAUAACAGACGGAAACGACUGAUAAGACCUGGUAAAGUCAGGCGGACUCAUGUCCAGCCUGAUGAAAAGAGAUGCUGCAGGAGAGCCUUGCGUCCUAUUAGCUUGUUGGUGGGGUAACGGCCCACCAAGGCGAUGAUAGGUAGCCGGCCUGAGAGGGUGGACGGCCACAAGGGGACGGAGAUACGGCCCUUACUCCUACGGGAGGCAGCAGUGGGGAAUAUUGGACAAUGGGGGCAACCCUGAUCCAGCAAUUCUGUGUGCACGAUGAAGGUUUUCGGAUUGUAAAGUGCUUUCAGCAGGGAAGAAAAAAUGACGGUACCUGCAGAAGAAGCGACGGCUAAAUACGUG
RNAcentral lists this ribosomal RNA (462 nucleotides) under uncultured bacterium. Its description in RNAcentral is "partial 16S ribosomal RNA". It matches the Rfam family "Bacterial small subunit ribosomal RNA", at positions 39 to 507 of the family's 1533-position model. The record is from RNAcentral.